Molecule: ribosomal RNA, 301 nt
Filed under: uncultured bacterium
Lineage: Bacteria
Description: partial 16S ribosomal RNA
Rfam family: Bacterial small subunit ribosomal RNA
Source: RNAcentral
CAGUCGCCGCGGGAAAACGGAGGGUGCAAGCGUUAAUCGGAAUUACUGGGCGUAAAGCGCACGCAGGCGGUUUGUUAAGUCAGAUGUGAAAUCCCCGAGCUUAACUUGGGAACUGCAUUUGAAACUGGCAAGCUAGAGUCUUGUAGAGGGGGGUAGAAUUCCAGGUGUAGCGGUGAAAUGCGUAGAGAUCUGGAGGAAUACCGGUGGCGAAGGCGGCCCCCUGGACAAAGACUGACGCUCAGGUGCGAAAGCGUGGGGAGCAAACAGGAUUAGAUACCCCCGUAGCCCUGUCUCUUAUAAA